This 56-nucleotide small RNA is filed under the name Arabidopsis thaliana (thale cress). Its description in RNAcentral is "ATSL188280". The record is from RNAcentral. Lineage: Eukaryota; Viridiplantae; Streptophyta; Magnoliopsida; Brassicales; Brassicaceae.
AUAAUUUUGAUUUCUCAAGAAGAAGACGAAGAAGAAGAAGAAGAAGAAGAGAGUAC